UGCUGACUAGCGUUAAUAUGUAAACCACCUAAUUUCGACUUAGAAAAUCUCGGCGCCACUCCGAGGCCAGCAC
Molecule: transfer RNA, 73 nt
Filed under: Hemidactylus farasani (Farasan gecko)
Lineage: Eukaryota; Metazoa; Chordata; Lepidosauria; Squamata; Gekkonidae
Description: tRNA-Arg
Source: RNAcentral